Molecule: unclassified non-coding RNA, 260 nt
Filed under: plant metagenome
Description: partial contains 5.8S ribosomal RNA, internal transcribed spacer 2, and large subunit ribosomal RNA
Source: RNAcentral
CCCCGCCUGGAAGCGGCGGAAUAGCGAUGAGCGCGGGCUCCUCAGUCAGUUCUCCCUGGCGGGCCGGGGGCGUACGCCAUAGGUGCCGUUCGGGCCAUGGCAACGGAUUCCGAAUUGCCGAAGCAUGCGGACGAGGAUGGAAGAGCGGCGGAUCUGGCCGCGCUUCGUGCGGUCGCCGCCGGGGACCGCGAGGCUUUCGCCCGACUGAUCGACCGGGAGAGCCCGAAGCUCCUCCGCUUGGCAAUGGGCAUGUUGGGCAG